This is a long non-coding RNA of Monodon monoceros (narwhal), 1912 nucleotides long. The record is from Ensembl. NCBI's taxonomy places the organism in Eukaryota, Metazoa, Chordata, Mammalia, Artiodactyla, Monodontidae.
AUGGAAGAAAGGCUCACACACACCCUUUCUGGGUGUAUGGGGGCCUCCUCUGGACGAGAAGGUGGAGGCCUCCUGCAGCCUUGGAGCCAGCCAGGGCCCCGGGCGUGCAGGCUGCUGGCACUUGCAGCCCCAGGGGCAUCCUGGCUCCUGGGGUCUCUGUCCAAGGACGGAGGCUGGGGGUGUUUCCUUCCUCCUCUGCCCAUCCCCCCCCAGCCCGCCUCGGUCGGUAACCGUCACAGGAAAUGGCCUCACCAAGCCCUUGAGCGACAGCGCACAUGGGGAGGCAACAGCUGGGGGCACAAGAGGGGGCACAGAGGUGGUGGUGGUGGGCCCUCCCCUGGGGUACGGUCCCCAUCUUCCAGACCAGAGUCCCAGCUUCCGAGUCCGGGAGGGGCUGUGGGGUCACCGCGCCCGCAGGGGCCGAGCGGGCAGAGAGGCUCUCGCAGUAGGAGGGCCUCGUCCGCCUCUUCUCUCCCUUGGGGGCCCUGCCCGGCCCUCGGGGACGUCAGGGGGUCAGCACCCGCGCCCCAGCCGGGCGCCGUGGCCCCGGGCACCCUCCUGUUCAUGCCCCCCCAGACGCCCUCCCGUGUCUCCCCAGGUUCGCACAGCCCUGGCCCGCGGGGCUCCUCCCCGGCCCGCUCAGGGCAUCUCCUCCAGGUCCUGGGCGCGUCCAGCCUCCGCCUGCUCGUGGGGCAGGGCCGAGCCGAGCCUAGCUCCAGGCUGCCCCGCAGAGGCCCGGGUACUCCGGCUCCCACGGACCUCGGCUGGAGACUGAUUUCCACUUCUUUGCUUCUGCCUCGGAGCCUCGCCCUGGAAGCCCUUGCCCCUUCAAGCCGCGGGAAUCAUGCCAGGCACAAACAGAAGUGGGCACAGACUGGGUGGGGCAAGGGGAGGCAGGAGUUCUUGCUUCCCAAGGGGCCAGGCUCAAGGGUCAUCCCAGGCCCUGAGUCUCACCCCGGCAGCCAGCCGCCUCUGGGCUGAGCCAGGCCAGCUGCCCUGGGAGUCGGUAGUGAAGACAGCUUGGAGGGUAGGAGGGUCUCGGGGCUUUUCCCGUCCCCAGGCCCCCCCAGGCCUCCUCCCAGAGCCCUGACGUCUACUCAGAGACCCACGGAGAGCAGACAGCCUCUGGCUGUCACACCAGGGGACCCCCCCCCCCACUGUGUCUUCUUUGCUGCUGGGGCGCCUGAAGCCUGGGCCUGGAAGGGGGGUGCCCAAGUCCAAGACCCCAAUGGCCCACCUCUGCCUCACCAGCGGGCCUCCUGUUGGCUCCCUGCUCGGCUCCUGUCACCUUGAAACAGUCCCCACACCCUCUGCUCCUGGCGCCCACAAUCCCAUCCUUCCCCUUCCACCCACUUCUCUGAUUCAGCCGUCCAUCAAAGGGCGACAGCAAAAACGCACUGACGUACAACAGGCCCGGGGGUGGGCACGCAGGAGGGGGCGCUGGGGAAGGGCUGGCCUCCAGGUGGAGAACAGGAUGGCCCUCUGGGGCUCGGGAGGUCCAGAGCUGAGGAAGCACUCGGCUCUGGUGCCCAGACGGGGAGGAGGGGGCAGGAGCCUGGGUGGACCUGUGGAGUGUGACCUCCGCCUCAGCUGACCCUCAACCCCACUCGUGUUUCCACUAGUGGAUGGCGGGGGCCUGGGGAUCAAAAGGGGGGCAGGAGGGGAUUGGAAAGAGGGCCACCCACUCUGGGGCAAGCUGUUGAUUGUUAUCGAGAACAGGAAGCUAGGGUACCGCAGGAGUGGGGAGGAGGAAGCGGGUGAAGCCCUCCCCAAACUGCUCUGCCUACGCCCCCAGGCUCUUAGGGUCUGAGCCCUCUGGGUGUGAGCACGCCUCCCUCCCAGGUUUGAGAAGCCGGAGGUUGAGCUCUUGGGUGGAGAGCAAGGAAGCUGGGGGCCAGGAAAUGGGGAAGGG